CUCUUUUCUUGCGCGUGCGUGCAGCUCCUAUGCUCAGCCUAAGAGGUAGAGGGGCCGUGUGGAGUGUGGGCCCGAGAGUCCGUAGAUGACGUAUCAGUCGAUAGGCAUUUAUUCUACCGUUCAAGGAAAACAAAUAAGGGUGCAGCUUAGGCGAAAAGAAAAACAUCUUAUUGCCAGUGUCUAAACUCCAACGGAAUGUGUCUGAGACCGUGUGUAUGGAUACACGUGUACUUGAAUCAACCCCGCCUGUGUGUACAGCUCUUGCUGUUAAGUCAACGCUUUACCGGAGCUAUCGCACUUAAGCCUCAGAACAACUUUAUGAGGUCUACUUCUAACAGGCUUGUUUAUAUGCAUUCUUAUUCUAUCCUGGAUUGGAAUCAGAAAAUUGGACAGUGUUGCAGGUUCUGACUGAUGCAGGCACACUGACAGUGAUGAAAGUGAGAACUGUGUCCUCUGAUGUACAACUCCAGUGGGCAACAUUUACAUUGUAAUGUAUGUAAAUGACAUUUCCUGAAGCACAAUUAAGAGGCUACAGAAUGUAUCUUCCAGGAGGGCAGGCCUAUAUCUUUUUGCUUACUCCAACUCCCUUCUAGCAAGUGUUUGACACAUAAAAGAUGUUCAGUAAGUACUGAUAAAGAUGGGGAGUGAAGGCUGAUCACAAAAUUUUCCUGCCCAAAUACUUUACAAAAUAGUUUGCGCGAAAAGAAGAACAGUAAAAACUCCUUUAAAAACCUUACCAGGGACUUCCCCGGUGGCGCAGUGGUUAGGAAUCUGCCUGCCAAUGCAGGGGACACAGGUUUCAGCCCUGGUCCGGGAAGAUCCCACGCUCUGCGGAACAACUAAGCCUGCGGAACUACUGAGCCUGUGCUCUGGAGCCCGCGAGCCACAACUGCUGAGCCUGAGCCUGAGUGCCACACUACUGAGGCCCGUGCGCCUAGAGCCCGUGCUCCGCAACAAGAGAAGCCACCGCAAUGAGAAGCUUGCGCACCGCAACAAAGAGUAGCCUCCGCUCGCAGUAACGAGAGAAAGCCCGCGCACAGCAACAAAGACCCAAGGCAGCCAAAAAUAAAUAAAUAAAUAAAUUUAUAAAAAAAUUACCAGAAGCAGCGAGAAAAAAGAAAAGUCUGCAACCUAAGCCAAUGAAGGCCAAAAUAAUACUAUUAUUUCAAAAUAAAUAAAUAAAUAAGUUUGGAUCAGCAAGAAAUGAAAUAAGCAUGGCUGGAAAUCAAAUUCUCACCAAAAGAAAAGACUGGAAAUCCCAGCACAUUCCCUAGUCAAUUCAUCAAGAUGAUUAUGCCUUGUCUCCUCUCUCCUAAAUCUCCCACAUUUCCCUGCUCCUCACUUCGAAUAUUUUAUUGAUAAAUAGAAGCUAUCACAAGAGAAACUCCUUUUUCCCACAUUAUACCUAUCAACCUGACUUCAUCUGUACUCUUCCUUUAUAAAGGGUCAACUCUCCCUGCUCUUAUCUAAGGCAAGCCCCUCUACUUGUACCCUGGAUCCCAUCUUGUAUAGUCAAGGAUACUGCUCCUGUGAUUACCCCCUCCAUUUCCUGCAUCCCCAGUUUCUCUCUCUUUACUGGAUUAUUCCAAUCAGUAAACAUACUGUAGUAUUUCCUUCUAAAAACACCAUCACCCUAGACCUCAUAUUCUCUUCCACUUACUUGGUGAGUAGGAGCCCAUUUUUUCUGCUCCCUUUUAUAACAAGCUUUUUUUUGCGGUACGCGGGCCUCUCACUGUUGUGGUCUCUCCCGUUGCGGAGCACAGGCUCCGGACGCGCAGGCUCAGCGGCCAUGGCUCAUGGGCCCAGCCACUCCGCGGCAUGUGGGAUCUUCCCGGACCGGGGCACGAACCCGUGUCCCCUGCAUCGGCAGGCGGACUCUCAACCACUGCGCCACCAGGGAAGCCCCUAUAACAAACUUUUAAAAGGUUGUCUCUACUUGGCAGUUUCCACUUCCUCACCAUACAUCAUCUCUUUAGUCCAUUCCAAUUAGGAUUAUUGUCUCCAUAGCUCCACCUAAACUGCUCUUGUUGAGAUCAUCAGUUACCUUCUUGCCAGAUCAUUUUCCUUUUCCCAAAUGUUUGGGACUCCCAGGCAUAUUCCUCACCCUUUUUUUUCUUCACCAUAAUAUUAAUUUCCCCCUCAGUCAUCUUAUCCAAUUUUUCUGAUUUUAAAUAUUGUCUGUGUUCUUAGGACUCCUGAAAUUUGUAUUCUAUCCCUAAUACCUUUGUUGAGCUCCGAACCCGUAUCUACCAACUCCACUCAGAUGUCCAAUAAGGACUGCAAAGUUAACUCAUUCAAAACAAACAUACUGGUUUUCUUCUCCCUCUCAAUUUACUUCUCCCCAAGUUUCCCCCAUGUCAACAAGUGGCAUUAUUUUCAUCCAGUUGCUCAAGACAAAAACCUAGAAGUCAUCCUUAAUUCCUCUUUGUGCCAGUUAUUAGGCUGUUAUCUCUUAGCAAUAAACCAUUCCAUACUCUGUGAUGCUGGGACUGGGACUCUGCAAGCUACAUUUCUAUACUUUGCCAGCUGAAUCCUUGCUACAGUCUGUCAGUAAGCGACAUUAGAAAAAAAAGACUAAAAGUCAGGAAGAGGGAAAAAGAACUUGCUCCUCCUUGUUGGCUUUCUGCACCUGCCAGCAUUGCCCCAGUUAUGGACCUUCACCCUCACAGCAGCAGUUAGCCCCAAAUUUCAACUAUUUUCCACUUCCCUAGAACCAGCCUCAGCACACCUCUCAGAGCCACUAGCAGCAAGUGGGCAGCACCCCCUGCCCCAGGUCAGGGUUCCAACUCUGCUGGGUCUCCCCUCCUAGCCCCGGGGUUCUAGUAACUUCAGGUCUUCCCAAGUUUAUCCAGGACUAGGUUAGUUCCUGAAGUUACUAUAUUAUCUCAGUGCUCCCCUUUUCCUUUUUCAGUUAGACAACACCUGUCUGACCAAUUCUUUAUAGUCAAUUUAUUGCUGUUGAAAUACUUAGCAGCAGCCAGAGUGACUCCUCUAAAGCAUAUGUCAUCUCCUUGCUCCUCAUCACGGUUGGAACAAAAUUCAGCCUCCUCUUUCAGGCCUUCAGCCCCUUUUGUGACCCGGCCUAUCCAACUUUCUAGUCUCAUCUCUCACCAGUUUCUGAUUACUCAUUCAGCUCUAAUCAUUCUGUCUUGAACACACCACUUUUCCACUGCAGGGCCUUUGUACUUGCUCUUCUCUACAUCUGGAUUGUCCAGGUCUUUGCCUGUCUCACAGCCUCGUUCCAUUCACGUUUAUUCUCAAAUGUCAUCUCGGAGAGGCCUACUCUCACUGCAUUAUCUAAAAUGCACAAUUCCCCCCCACCUCCAUUUCCUUACCUGGGUUUCUUAUUCUCACUACCUGACUUUGUUAUGUUAUUUCUCCCUCCGCUAUUCUCAAGUAAAAAGCUUCAUAGCUUCACAUAAAGGAAGGGAUGUGAUCUUAUUUAUCCCUGGUGCUGGCACUCAAUAAAUUCCAGUUGACAAUUGAAUUUAAUAAGUGAAUGCAGAAGAAAAGUGGACCAAAGUAAUUGCAAACAAGGUAAUAUGCAAGUGAGACAAAGACAACAUGAUAUAGCCUACUUCAACUCCCUGAGUACAUAAUGCAACAAAUGAAUCAGAAAAAGCACUUAAAGAUGUAACAGAAGAGAAUUUCCACAAAAUCAUGAAAGAACUGAAUCUGCAGAAUAAAAUGUUCAAAGAAAAAUGGACAUAUACUAUUCAUAUCAAGGCAUAUACUGGUUAAGCUAUUAGCCAUGAAGAAUGAAGGAAAAAAUUCAGACCUCCAGGCCGAAAACUAACUUAUCAGAGGGAGGAAAUCAUGCUGGCCUUAGACUUCCUCUAAGCAAUAUUCAAAGCCAGAAAACAAAGGAAAAAUGUUUGCAGUCUUAAGGGAAAGCCAGCAUGAUGCCAAACUAUGAUAUCUAAGUAAGUGACAUUCAGAAAUUGAUGAAAAAGGCAAACAUAACAUCCACGAAUCCAUGUUAAAAAAAAAAAAAAACUACUUAGUGAGGAGCAGAUAGCUAAGUGAUGAAUCAAAAUAAGUAGGAAUUGAGAACUGAGGUGUGUUGCGACCACUGGAUUUUAAAAUAGAGAUCAAGACCAAAUGACCAAAGGAAUUAAGGUUACAAAACAGGAACAUUAAAACCUUCACUUUAAAAAAUAAUGACAUAAAUAAAAAUAUAUCUUUUUCAUGGCAGAGUCAACUUGCAUUUCUAAAUUGGAAACAUACAGAUAAAAAAAUCUCCAAACUCUUAAUUUUUUAAACUUUGGAUAUUUUAGGACAUAAGAUCUCUUGUGGCAAAGAAACAUUUUUCUAGAGUUCAGCAAUUCCUUCAGCUUAUCUUACUACUACCAAAUUCAAAUAAUUUUAACACUUUAAAAAUUUAAAAAGGAUGCACAUUCUCAUCUUAAAUAAGAUUAACUUAUUUGUAUAAGUGCAUAGAAAUAUGCCUACCACGAUGGUCACUUAAUAUUGAUGGUAAAAUCUGGGAUCUGAGGAGAUUUAAAAACCUUCCUAUAACUUUCUAUAUUGUUUGAAUUAUUUAUAAAUGAACAUGUAUUGUUUUUAUGAAACCAAUAAAAACACUAUCCUUAAAAUACUAUUAUAUACAGCAGUGUGAAUAUACUUAAUACUACUGAACUGUACAUUUUAAAAUUAUUAAGAUGGCAAAGGGCUUCCCUGGUGGCGCAGUGGUUGAGAGUCCGCCUGCCGAUGCAGGGGGACACGGGUUCGUGCCCCGGUCCGGGAAGAUCCCACAUGCCGCCGAGCGGCUGGGCCCGUGAGCCAUGGCCGCUGAGCCUGCGCGUCUGGAGCCUGUGCUCCACAACGGGAGAGGCCACAACAGUGAGAGGCCCACGUACGGCAAAAAAAAAAAAAGAUGGUAAAGUUUGUUAUGUGUUUUUUUACCACAAUUAAAAAUAAAAAAUACUAUUAUAAAAAUUAUGAUAUAGGUCCAGCCAUUAUGGCUUUACAGAUGGAUUUUGACUAUCCCAAAUUCUCCUCAAAUCAAUUUUUUCCACCAAAGAUUACCCCUCAAAUUAUACCCUUCACAUAAUACUCUGUACUUGCUUAUACCUUAUCUAAUUUAAUUUUAGAAACAGAGACCAUUCACUGGCAGACAUUGUUAUAAGUAUGCAAAAUGAAAAGAUGCAUGUAAAAAGUAACUAAUAUGUUGUAUUACUCUAUUAAAUAUCUUAGUGUUAUGAAAAUGUAAAUAUAUGUUAUUUGAUUUACAUAUUUUGGUGGAAAUCUUUUAAUGAUUUUUUUUCUGAUUGUUAAAAUAUGUGCCCAUUUUAGAAAAUAUGAAAAAGAAGGUAAAAACCACCAUAAUUACAUAAUAUAUUUUGGUAUAUUUUUUCUCCCAACCCUUGAGGAGAAAUAGUUUUGUAACCUAAAAGAUUUAUCUGUACAUUAAAUUAAAUAUUAGUGUUUCUCUGUGGCAUUAAGUAUUUUUAGUUGUUGCAAAAAUUCCAUUAGAUUGAUGUACCAUGGUUUAUUUAAUCACUCCUUUACUACUGAAUAUUCAGAUUGUCUCCUCUCUAUAGGUGCUGUAAUGAUCAUAUAUAAAUCUUUGACUUCAUAUCUAAUUUUUUUAGGAUUGGUUCCUGGAAGUGGAACUACUAUUAUCAAAGAUUUGGACACUUUUGACUCCAGAAAAGUAAUAUAGUAAUAGAUGAGUUUGUAAAUUUCAUUGCAUUCUUAGCAACACUACCUGUUAGCACUUCUUUUCUUUUUUUCUUUUUUUAACAUCUCUAUUGGAGUAUAAUUGCUUUACAGUGUUGUGUUUCUGCUGUAUAACAGAGUGAACCAGCUGUAUUUAUAUAUAUAUUCCCACGUCCCCUCCCUCUUGCGUCUCCCUCCCACCCUCCCUAUCCCACCCCUCUAGGUGGUCACGAAGGACCGAGCUGAUCUCCCUGUUCUAUGUGGCUGCUUCCCACUAGCUAUCUAUUUUACAUUUGGUAGUAUAUACAUGUCAAUGUUACUCUCUCACUUCGUCCCAGCUUACCCUUCCCCCUCCCCAUGUCCUCAAGUCCAUUCUCUACAUCUGAGUCUUUAUUUCUGUCCUGCCCACAGGUUCUUCAGAACCACUUUUAUUUUUCAGAUUCCAUAUAUAUGGGUUAGCAUACGGUAUUUGUUUUUCUCUUUCUGACUUACUUCUCUCUUUAUGACAGACUCUACAUCCAUCCACCUCACAACAAAUAACUCAAUUUCGGUUCUUUUUAUGGCUAAUAUUCCAUUGUAUAUACGUGCCACAUCUUCUUUAUCCAUUCAUCUGUUGAUGGACACUUAGGUUGUUUCCAUGUCCUGGCUAUUAUAAAUAGUGCUGCAAUGAACAUUGUGGUACAUGACUGUUUUUGAAUUAUGGUUUUCUCAGGGUAUGUGCCCAGUAGUGGGAUUGCUGGGUCAUAUGGUAGUUCUAUUUUUAGUUUUUUAAGGAACCUCCAUACUGUUCUCCAUAGUGGCUGUAUCAAUUUACAUUCCCACCAACAGUGCAAGAGGGUUGCCUUUUCUCCACACUCUCUCCAGCAUUCAUUGUUUCUAGAUUUUUUGAUGAUGGCCAUUCUGACUGGUGUGAGGUGAUACAUCAUUGUAGUUUUGAUUUGCAUUUCUCUAGUGAUUAGUGAUGUUGAGCAUCCUUUCAUGUUAGCACUUAUUUUCAAUCUCUGUCAAUCUGAUGGGAAGACUCUUUCUGUAAUUUAGUUUGAUAAAGUUGCAUUUUUGCUGAUCCACUCAAUAACUUUACUAUUUCAAGGACUUAUAAUUCUUUGUCUUCUCCAUGAUGCUUAACAGAGCCUUGCUAAGAUACAGAAGAAAUGUAUUGUUUUAUUGGCUUUGGCAGCAUUUCUUUUAAAAUACAUUAUAUCUUGAACACAUAGAAAGGUGAAGAAAGAUAACAUCAAAAAGGAUCCAAAUUAUUUUACUUAAUAAAAAGUAAGAUUGUAUUCAAUUCUUAAUGUAGUCAUAGAGCGUUAUUACUAUCAGCCAGCAAUAUCAUAUUUUAUUUAUUGAAAUCAUAUUGAAUUUAUUGCUUAAUGUGCCAUUUUUACUACAGCACUUUUCAAAAUGCUUCAAAAUGCUUAGUCUAUAAGGUUAAGAAAAACAUUCACUAGAUAACUACUUUGAAAUAAUUUCCUCAACUCUGCCUUCAUUCAAGAGGCCUAAAAACAGACUGGCCUACUUCCAACUUUCACGUUAUCUUUGCUAUGAAGUCAUUCUAUAGAUAGGUUAAUAAGCAUUCUGGCAUACAGAAAAAUAGUUUCUGUAAAACUAUAUUGCAUAGUUUGGCUGGGGUUGUUCCUCCUUCAGAACUGCAUUACGUAAUUUUAAAGUGUUUACUUAAGCUCCUUUGGGCUGCCUCCAUGGUAGCUAUGAAGUCACUGAGAAUUAGGAACAGUUUGGGGCCUGAUAACAAAGUCUAUUAGUUUAAUGUGAACACUUUGUCAAUUUUUUUUAUCACUGCCAUAUAAGGAACUUUAAAAACAAGGAUAUUAAUUCAUUUUAUUUUUUAAAAAGUUUGCUACUUCAAAAAUCAUUAAGAAAUACACACACACACACAAAAGGUUCAUAAAUGUACAUUUGCUCAUUACCUAAAUGUACUUAUUUUAAAACCCGUACUCUAUAGCAUGAAUUCACAGUGUGAUUCUGACUUAUAAAUAAUUAUGCAAAAUUACCAAAAUGUAUAGAGCACAGGCUUUAGGAGAGUAUGAAUUAUUAAAACGGCCUAAGCACUAUUUCUAUCUGUAAGUCAUAAAGGAAGUUUUCUAUGAGAACAUCAAAGAUAUAUAAAUUAUAAUAAUAUCAGCUUUGGGAGAAUUUAAAAAGAUACUAGGUUAUAAGAUUAUUUUAUCUUGAUUACACAGAGAAAGGGAGUAUCUUCAGUUCCUCAGAGAACUCUUGAGCUCCUUUACCAACUAAAUAAGAAUGUGUCAUGCAAUGUGCGUUGUACAAGUGGGAGAAGAGUCAUUCAGAUUUUGUAUGUUAAUCAAGUGUUAUAUCACCUCAAGGAAACAUGCAAAUUCUUAUAAAAUACCUAAAAUCUCAACCAUCACUUUAGAAUUACUGAGUUUUAUGAACCAACAAGCCCAAGUAAAGUCAAGAUCCUGACAUCUGGGACAUCCCUGGUGGCGCAGUGGUUAAGAAUCUGCCUGCCAAUGCAGGGGACACAGGUUCGAGCCCUGGUCUGGGAAGAUCCCACGUGCUGCAGAGCAACUAAGCCUGUGUGCCACAACUACUGAGCCUGUGCUCUAGAGCCCACGAGCCACAACUACUGAGCCCACGUGCUGCAACUACUGAAGCCCACGCUCCUAGAGCCCAUGCUCCGCAAUGAGAAGCCACCGCGAUGAGAAACCCGCGUGCCGCAACGAAGAGUAGCCCCCACUCACCGCAACUAGAGAAAGCCCGCGCGCAUCAACAAAGACCCAACACAGCCAAAAAAAAAAGAUCCCGACAUCUAAAAACAUGUAACCCUUUAAAUGUCAUUUUAUUUUAAUUAUGUAACAUGAGUUUAUUAUAAAAUUACUUAUAGGAAUAAUCUCGAUAGCAUUUUGUUUUUUAACUUUGAAGUCAUUGAUGGCCUUGCCAAUGAUCUAGUGAGGUCCAAAGUCAGGGACAAUUCAAGGAGGGAAUGGAAGAACUUUUAGGACCUGAUUAUCUCCUUGAAGGUGCAGCCACUGUGCGUGUCCUACCUAGCUUAGGAGAGAGAGAAGUGUCUGUGUAUAGGAGGCCUAACCUGGAGGGGAGGGAAUGGUCAUGAGGGAGAAAAAUGGGGGAUAAUUAUGAGACUGCCCAAUCAGAUUGGCUCUCGAUUUGCUUUGCUGUAAUGAUGAAAUGUUUGGGUUUUUAUAUUUCAUUCUAAUAUCAAAAAGAGGAUAUUUAUUUGGUUUCUUAUGUUUAAACAUUUUUCAUAUACAAUAUAUUUAUACAUCUAUUUA
Molecule: long non-coding RNA, 8930 nt
Organism: Globicephala melas (long-finned pilot whale)
Lineage: Eukaryota; Metazoa; Chordata; Mammalia; Artiodactyla; Delphinidae
Source: RefSeq, a predicted model, not a curated record